UACGGAGGAUGCAAGCGUUAUCCGGAUUCAUUGGGUUUAAAGGGUGCGCAGGCGGGGAUGUAAGUCAGUGGUGAAAAGCUGCCGCUUAACGGUAGUCUUGCCAAUGAUACUACAUUUCUUGAGUAUGGUUAAGGUAGGCGGAAUGUGCAGUGUAGCGGUGAAAUGCAUAGAGAUUGCACAGAAGGCCGAUUGCGGAGGCAGCUUACUGAGCCAUAACUGACGCUGAGGCACGAAAGCGUGGGGAUCGAACAGGAUUAGAUACC
This 263-nucleotide ribosomal RNA is filed under the name uncultured bacterium. RNAcentral's name for it is "partial 16S ribosomal RNA". It matches the Rfam family "Bacterial small subunit ribosomal RNA", at positions 524 to 786 of the family's 1533-position model. The record is from RNAcentral.